ACAAACUAAUAUAACAAAUCACUAUAAAAUAUUAAAUAAUUAACAUGAAUAUUAUAAUUAUUAAAAUGAUAUAUUAUAUUUUUUCUUGUAUUAUAUAUAUAUUAGAAAAAUAUAAGAAAUUUGGGGGUACACCUUGCACCAAUGUGGCUCCGCCACUGCUACACAAAGAACAUACCAAGCAAAUGAAUGGAACGAAGGUAGGAAUCAUUAUUCCAUUCCGACUUCCAUUACAUCAUACCAAUCACUUAGGUCCCUUUAUCAUUAUUGUUGAGACAAUCGCCGAAAAUCACAAGAACACACAACGCAAUAAACGAACAAGAAACGCAAAGUAAGAACGACGCAAAGAGUUAUAAAUCACCUAACAAAGAAACGAAGAAGGAAUUAUAAUAAGCAAAUGGAGUUGAAAGAAAUUAUAGAUCUCAGCUCUCUGCUGUACCUCUCGUGGAGGAGUUGGCGCAAGUCGACGGCGGCGGCGGCAGUUGGUUUUCAAUACCAUAAGCACCCUUCCUCUCUGUGCACGAAAAUUGUAAUGUGAAUUUUAGUAAAUGAUUUGAAAAGAUGUGUGUGUAAUGUAAUGGUAAAAUGGAUCAAAGUUGAUGAUUUUGAAGGAAAUUGUGUGGAAGAAUAGUUGCGAGAAACUAAGCAACCGAAGACUAGUUAUGAUGAUUGAGCAAUCAACUAGUUGAUCAAGUCUAUAUGCGCGUUGAGCAUUAAUCAACUCCA
Molecule: long non-coding RNA, 723 nt
Filed under: Salvia miltiorrhiza (redroot sage)
Lineage: Eukaryota; Viridiplantae; Streptophyta; Magnoliopsida; Lamiales; Lamiaceae
Description: long non-coding RNA (SMIL_LNC006721)
Source: RNAcentral